Molecule: long non-coding RNA, 503 nt
Organism: Cervus elaphus (red deer)
Lineage: Eukaryota; Metazoa; Chordata; Mammalia; Artiodactyla; Cervidae
Exons: 4
Source: RefSeq, a predicted model, not a curated record
CUGCCUGUGGCAGAACCAGCAUCUUUCUUUUAGCACCUGUGUGUGGACCCAGGGGGCAGAUCCUGGUGGACCCUGCUUGGAUUCUACCCCGUCGCCAAACUUGGCCCUGUUGCGGCCAUUCAGGCUUCCUGGCAGCCAGGGCACUCGAGCAGUGGAAAUGGUGGCUCUGCACUCAGCAGCACUCUCUGUGCUGACCUGGAUCAUCCUCGGACCACGUGUGGCCCCUAGAGACCCUCCUUCCUCUUCCUGGAAAGUCAAGUCCUAAAGCCACCAGAUGAGAGCAAGGUGACGGAGGUCAGAACAGACACCUGAACACCAGCCGCUCCCAGGCCCAGGGUUGAGGCACAGCUCCAGAUAAACCGCCCUCCUCCUCGCCUCUUUCCUCCAAGCCGGCCCCGCGUGUUCCUGUCCAGGUUACACCCCUACACGUGCCAAUCUGAAACUUCCCUCCUGGUUGGUAGAAACGUCCAACAGAACAGGAACGGUUUCUGCUGCGUCAGCUG